UCCUCGUUUGUUUUUAUAUGUCUCGCUGC
This 29-nucleotide non-coding RNA is filed under the name Mus musculus (house mouse). Lineage: Eukaryota; Metazoa; Chordata; Mammalia; Rodentia; Muridae. The record is from RNAcentral.